This 62-nucleotide microRNA precursor is filed under the name Caenorhabditis remanei. RNAcentral describes it as "mir-2229 microRNA precursor family". It matches the Rfam family "mir-2229 microRNA precursor family". Lineage: Eukaryota; Metazoa; Nematoda; Chromadorea; Rhabditida; Rhabditidae. The record is from Rfam by way of RNAcentral.
ACAGAACCCACAGGGCUUUCCACUCUCAUUAAGAAGUGUAGAAGGACUGUUGGGUCCUGUAA